Molecule: ribosomal RNA, 253 nt
Filed under: uncultured bacterium
Lineage: Bacteria
Description: partial 16S ribosomal RNA
Rfam family: Bacterial small subunit ribosomal RNA
Source: RNAcentral
UACGUAGGGGGCAAGCGUUGUCCGGAUUUAUUGGGCGUAAAGAGCGUGUAGGCGGCCAAGCAGGUCCGCUGUGAAAACUCGAGGCUCAACCUCGAGACGUCGGUGGAAACCGUUUGGCUAGAGUCCGGAAGAGGAGAGUGGAAUUCCCGGUGUAGCGGUGAAAUGCGCAGAUAUCAGGAGGAACACCAAUGGCGAAGGCAGCUCGCUGGGACGUGACUGACGCUGGGACGCGAAAGCGUGGGGAGCAAACAGG